RNAcentral lists this ribosomal RNA (394 nucleotides) under uncultured bacterium. RNAcentral's name for it is "bacterial SSU rRNA". It matches the Rfam family "Bacterial small subunit ribosomal RNA", at positions 32 to 436 of the family's 1533-position model. The record is from RNAcentral.
AAUCAACGCUGGCGGCGUGCCUAACACAUGCAAGUCGAACGAGAAAGUGGAGCAAUCCACAAGUAAAGUGGCGCACGGGUGAGUAACACGUGACUAACCUACCCUUGAGUGGGGGAUAACCUAGGGAAACCUGGGCUAAUACCGCAUAAUACCUAUGGGUCAAAGGAGCAAAUUCGCUUUUGGAGGGGGUCGCGGCAGAUUAGUUAGUUGGCAGGGUAAUGGCCUACCAAGACGAUGACUGUAUCCGGCCUGAGAGGGCGCACGGACACACUGGAACUGAAACACGGUCCAGACUCCUACGGGAGGCAGCAGUGGGGAAUUUUGCGCAAUGGGGGAAACCCUGACGCAGCAACGCCGCGUGGAGGAUGAAGACCCUUGGGUCGUAAACUCCUUU